GGUUUUGCGACUAUAUUUUCCAUUCGGAGGAAAUGAAACUAACAAGGAUUCCCCUAGUAGCGGCGAGCGAAGCGGGAAGAGCUCAAAUUUAUAAUCUGGCACCUUCGGUGUCCGAGUUGUAAUCUCUAGAAGUGUUUUCCGCGUUGGACCGCACACAAGUCUGUUGGAAUACAGCGGCAUAGUGGUGAAACCCCCGUAUAUGGUGCGGACGCCCAGCGCUUUGUGAUACACUUUCAAUGAGUCGAGUUGUUUGGGAAUGCAGCUCAAAUUGGGUGGUAAAUUCCAUCUAAAGCUAAAUAUUGGCGAGAGACCGAUAGCGAACAAGUACCGUGAGGGAAAGAUGAAAAGCACUUUGGAAAGAGAGUUAACAGUACGUGAAAUUGUUGGAAGGGAAACGCUUGAAGUCAGACUUGCUUGCCGGAGCUUGCUUCGGUUUGCAGGCCAGCAUCAGUUUUCCGGGGUGGAUAAUGACGGUUUGAAGGUAGCAGUCUCGGCUGUGUUAUAGCUUUCCGUGGAUACGCCCUGGGGGACUGAGGAACGCAGCGUGCUUUUUGCGAAAGUACUU
This 565-nucleotide ribosomal RNA is filed under the name Rhodotorula diobovata. RNAcentral describes it as "partial large subunit ribosomal RNA". It matches the Rfam family "Eukaryotic large subunit ribosomal RNA", at positions 1 to 597 of the family's 3401-position model. The record is from RNAcentral. Lineage: Eukaryota; Fungi; Basidiomycota; Microbotryomycetes; Sporidiobolales; Sporidiobolaceae.